Zingiber officinale is the source of this 2057-nucleotide RNA transcript. It is a transcript of the gene named heat shock factor-binding protein-like, with no coding region annotated. NCBI's taxonomy places the organism in Eukaryota, Viridiplantae, Streptophyta, Magnoliopsida, Zingiberales, Zingiberaceae. The record is from RefSeq and is a predicted model, not a curated record. The transcript is spliced from 5 exons.
GCAAGGCUUCGCGAUGGCCGGCAGUAACACCGGAAGCGUCAAGAUCGCUGGAGGAAUCGAUCGGCUCCUUCCUUUGGAUCUAUCUUUUGAUCUCGCAUUGAGUUGGUGUCUGACAUGGAGAAAGUGAUCUGUCAGUGUAUUGAUUUUUGCGGUUUUCUUCCAGAAAAAUCUUGGAUUAAAAGGACGAACCAAGUUCGAUACAGAACAAAGUCUUGUCAAAAGGGCUGGGUAAUUGGAAAGCAAAACUGGCAAAUUUCUACUGGAUCUAUAGAUAAACUACUCUUGAUUUCAUGUUUAACCGAAUUGAUUAUCAUCAACUUGCUUGGAUAAUGGAUAGUGCUCAUAUUUGAAGAAUUUUGUCAGUGUUAAGUGUUGCAUUUUGGUACCUGAUAGCCAUAGCAUCAUAUAUAGUGGCCUUAGUGAAGUAUCAUCACGAAGAAUAGUUCAGAAUCAUGAUUCACUGUUCAUUUACUUGGUUAUGUCGGCUGCUUUGCGUCACACAACAGCAAGGUCCAGAUCGGCUUCAACGAUAUUACAGUCUUCUCAUUGUCUAACACUGCUGACCAAGAGUCAGAGUACCCAACACAAAGCACUGCUGACAUGACUGCAUUUGUGAGUCUAUCAGUUUGUCUGUCUUGAAAUUUCACAGGGAUUGUCGUCUUGCCGACAAACAUAGUCAUACGUUCCAAUGUUGAUAAUGCAGCAAGUCAAUCUCUAUUAAACCUUUCUAUUGAAAUGGUUGUUUGAAUUUAACUUCUUGAUAUACUAUUAGUAUAAUUUACAUAAACAAGGUACUUCAUUAACCCAUUUCUUUUGGUUGCAGCUCCAAAACCUUCUAGUGCAGAUGGUAUGAUAUUUUUUCUUCAUUCAGCAAUAGUUUUGCUCACUUAACAGUUAUUUUUGUUCUAUUAUAUUUGAUGCUUAAAACGUAUAUAGCCUUUUGCAGCAAAGUAGGUUCCAGGCAAUGUCUGAGGGCAUCCUCUUGAAGAAUAUCCUUUCUAUACACGGGCAAUAAGUAUACUUUUAAGAAGCUCCUUUUUUGGCCUUUUGUAGAACUAUUGAAGGCAAAAACACCAUGAACAUAUAGUUUACACCAAUACUCCCUUUAUAAUUUACAUAGCUAAACAACAAACCUAUUGAAUCGAUUUUCAAUUGCAAAUUGAUAUCUAUACGUCCAGAUGGACUAAAGGAGCUGUUAGUAUUAACCCUAAGAGCCAAUUAUGAGAUGAUUAAGCUUAUUGGGUUAAUGAAUACGAAUUGACUUAUUGGGUUAAUGAUUAAUUCAAUAUACUAAAAUCUAACCCAUUAAAGAUGAUUAAUGGAGAUUAAUUAUGCAUUGAAAAAGGAAGAUCAUUGAGUUAGAUUCAAAUGGAUUCAACUAUUAGAUUGAGUUCAAUUCAAAUUAGACUCAUGGAAUUAGUUCGGAUUGAUGAGGAUCAAUGAGUUAGACUCAUUGGGUGAACUCGAAUUCAUCAAGGGAGAGGAAAGGUUAAUUUUGAAUUAACCAAAAGACUUAAUUAGAUAAUUAAUGUCAAUUAAGACAAUUGAUUGAAUAAAUACACAAGGGGGUUUUGAUUCAUUUGAUGUAUAACACUUGUGUUCUUCCACCUGUUUGUCUCCUUCUUCCUCUUUGGCCGAAACCUCCUUGUUUGGUUGCUAGCACAAACUUAGCUGGUUUUUCUUCUCCGAGUUUGUGAGUUCGUAAGACGGAUGGAACAUGUUUCUGUGGAUACCAAAAGAGGCGCGAAUACUUGAUCACGCUGAGAUUCAACGAGGACAAAGUUGCUGUCGGGAGUUCGUGUUUACACAACAAAGUACACUAGAUGAAAUGGGAAGCAAGAUUGACGAACUGGAGCAGAGCAUCAAUGAUCUCAAAGCUGAGAUUGGGGUGGAGGAUUCAGCCUAACCUCGUGAUACUGCAUGAGGUAAUCAGUCAAAUCCCGAAGUGUUUAAAGAGUUGAUUUUGUGAUUAAAUAUGGCCCGUUGCGCCUGAUAUAGAUUUUUUGAAUCCUUUUACGGGUGUUUCUGAAAGAAUAAUAUAAUCAUUUCUUUAUCAA